AUUGAACGCUGGCGGCGUGCUUAACACAUGCAAGUCGAUCGGUAACAGGUGUAGCAAUACAUGCUGACGAGAGGCGGACGGGUGAGUAAUGCUUGGGAAUCUGCCUAUUAGUGGGGGACAACCCGGGGAAACUCGGGCUAAUACCGCAUACGCUCUACGGAGGAAAGCCGGGGACCGCAAGGCCUGGCGCUAAUAGAUGAGCCCAAGUCGGAUUAGCUAGUUGGUAGGGUAACGGCCUACCAAGGCGACAAUCCGUAGCUGGUCUGAGAGGACGACCAGCCACACCGGAACUGAGACACGGUCCGGACUCCUACGGGAGGCAGCAGUGGGGAAUAUUGGACAAUGGGGGCAACCCUGAUCCAGCGACGCCGCGUGGGUGAAGAAGGCCUGCGGGUUGUAAAGCCCUUUCGGUGGGGAAGAAAAGUCUCGACCUAAUACGUCGGGACCUUGACGUAACCCACUAAAGAAGCACCGGCUAACUCUGUGCCAGCAGCCGCAGUAA
Molecule: ribosomal RNA, 502 nt
Filed under: uncultured bacterium
Lineage: Bacteria
Description: bacterial SSU rRNA
Rfam family: Bacterial small subunit ribosomal RNA
Source: RNAcentral